RNAcentral lists this ribosomal RNA (2064 nucleotides) under Escherichia coli. RNAcentral's name for it is "partial 23S ribosomal RNA". It matches the Rfam family "Bacterial large subunit ribosomal RNA", at positions 174 to 2262 of the family's 2925-position model. Lineage: Bacteria; Pseudomonadati; Pseudomonadota; Gammaproteobacteria; Enterobacterales; Enterobacteriaceae. The record is from RNAcentral.
AUGAGGCGAACCGGGGGAACUGAAACAUCUAAGUACCCCGAGGAAAAGAAAUCAACCGAGAUUCCCCCAGUAGCGGCGAGCGAACGGGGAGGAGCCCAGAGCCUGAAUCAGUGUGUGUGUUAGUGGAAGCGUCUGGAAAGGCGCGCGAUACAGGGUGACAGCCCCGUACACAAAAAUGCACAUACUGUGAGCUCGAUGAGUAGGGCGGGACACGUGGUAUCCUGUCUGAAUAUGGGGGGACCAUCCUCCAAGGCUAAAUACUCCUGACUGACCGAUAGUGAACCAGUACCGUGAGGGAAAGGCGAAAAGAACCCCGGCGAGGGGAGUGAAAAAGAACCUGAAACCGUGUACGUACAAGCAGUGGGAGCCUCUUAAUGGGGUGACUGCGUACCUUUUGUAUAAUGGGUCAGCGACUUAUAUUCUGUAGCAAGGUUAACCGAAUAGGGGAGCCGAAGGGAAACCGAGUCUUAACUGGGCGUUAAGUUGCAGGGUAUAGACCCGAAACCCGGUGAUCUAGCCAUGGGCAGGUUGAAGGUUGGGUAACACUAACUGGAGGACCGAACCGACUAAUGUUGAAAAAUUAGCGGAUGACUUGUGGCUGGGGGUGAAAGGCCAAUCAAACCGGGAGAUAGCUGGUUCUCCCCGAAAGCUAUUUAGGUAGCGCCUCGUGAAUUCAUCUCCGGGGGUAGAGCACUGUUUCGGCAAGGGGGUCAUCCCGACUUACCAACCCGAUGCAAACUGCGAAUACCGGAGAAUGUUAUCACGGGAGACACACGGCGGGUGCUAACGUCCGUCGUGAAGAGGGAAACAACCCAGACCGCCAGCUAAGGUCCCAAAGUCAUGGUUAAGUGGGAAACGAUGUGGGAAGGCCCAGACAGCCAGGAUGUUGGCUUAGAAGCAGCCAUCAUUUAAAGAAAGCGUAAUAGCUCACUGGUCGAGUCGGCCUGCGCGGAAGAUGUAACGGGGCUAAACCAUGCACCGAAGCUGCGGCAGCGACACUAUGUGUUGUUGGGUAGGGGAGCGUUCUGUAAGCCUGUGAAGGUGUACUGUGAGGUAUGCUGGAGGUAUCAGAAGUGCGAAUGCUGACAUAAGUAACGAUAAAGCGGGUGAAAAGCCCGCUCGCCGGAAGACCAAGGGUUCCUGUCCAACGUUAAUCGGGGCAGGGUGAGUCGACCCCUAAGGCGAGGCCGAAAGGCGUAGUCGAUGGGAAACAGGUUAAUAUUCCUGUACUUGGUGUUACUGCGAAGGGGGGACGGAGAAGGCUAUGUUGGCCGGGCGACGGUUGUCCCGGUUUAAGCGUGUAGGCUGGUUUUCCAGGCAAAUCCGGAAAAUCAAGGCUGAGGCGUGAUGACGAGGCACUACGGUGCUGAAGCGACAAAUGCCCUGCUUCCAGGAAAAGCCUCUAAGCAUCAGGUAACAUCAAAUCGUACCCCAAACCGACACAGGUGGUCAGGUAGAGAAUACCAAGGCGCUUGAGAGAACUCGGGUGAAGGAACUAGGCAAAAUGGUGCCGUAACUUCGGGAGAAGGCACGCUGAUAUGUAGGUGAAGCGACUUGCUCGUGGAGCUGAAAUCAGUCGAAGAUACCAGCUGGCUGCAACUGUUUAUUAAAAACACAGCACUGUGCAAACACGAAAGUGGACGUAUACGGUGUGACGCCUGCCCGGUGCCGGAAGGUUAAUUGAUGGGGUUAGCGGUAACGCGAAGCUCUUGAUCGAAGCCCCGGUAAACGGCGGCCGUAACUAUAACGGUCCUAAGGUAGCGAAAUUCCUUGUCGGGUAAGUUCCGACCUGCACGAAUGGCGUAAUGAUGGCCAGGCUGUCUCCACCCGAGACUCAGUGAAAUUGAACUCGCUGUGAAGAUGCAGUGUACCCGCGGCAAGACGGAAAGACCCCGUGAACCUUUACUAUAGCUUGACACUGAACAUUGAGCCUUGAUGUGUAGGAUAGGUGGGAGGCUUUGAAGUGUGGACGCCAGUCUGCAUGGAGCCGACCUUGAAAUACCACCCUUUAAUGUUUGAUGUUCUAACGUGGGCCCCUUACCGGGGUUGCGGACAGUGUCUGGU